GUUAUUGUAGCUCACACUAAAGCAUGGCACUGAAGAUGCCAAGACGGACAUCAAAAUAUCCCAAUAACA
Molecule: transfer RNA, 69 nt
Filed under: Amyda cartilaginea (black-rayed soft-shelled turtle)
Lineage: Eukaryota; Metazoa; Chordata; Testudines; Trionychidae
Description: tRNA-Phe
Source: RNAcentral